GACGAACGCUGGCGGCGUGCUUAACACAUGCAAGUCGAGCGGUAAGGCCCUUCGGGGUACACGAGUGGCGAACGGGUGAGUAACACGUGGGUGAUCUGCCCUGCACUUCGGGAUAAGCCUGGGAAACUGGGUCUAAUACCGGAUAGGACCACUGCCUGCAUGGGUGGUGGUGGAAAGCUUUUGCGGUGUGGGAUGGGCCCGCGGCCUAUCAGCUUGUUGGUGAGGUAAAGGCUCACCAAGGCGACGACGGGUAGCCGGCCUGAGAGGGUGACCGGCCACACUGGGACUGAGAUACGGCCCAGACUCCUACGGGAGGCAGCAGUGGGGAAUAUUGCACAAUGGGCGCAAGCCUGAUGCAGCGACGCCGCGUGAGGGAUGACGGCCUUCGGGUUGUAAACCUCUUUCAGCAUCGACGAAGCGAAAGUGACGGUAGGUGCAGAAGAAGGACCGGCCAACUACGUGCCAGCAGCCGCCGUAA
Molecule: ribosomal RNA, 478 nt
Filed under: uncultured bacterium
Lineage: Bacteria
Description: partial 16S ribosomal RNA
Rfam family: Bacterial small subunit ribosomal RNA
Source: RNAcentral